GGGCAGCAGCCACUGCUGGAGCAGGUAAUUACGUAGCUGGACAGAUGGACCGGGCGCGGACGCACAGCGCCCUCCCCGCGCUCUGGCCCCUGGAGGGCCCCGAGUGGGCUGACGAGCAGCGCGUGGGCCUUCCAGAAGCGGGCUGAUUGGACCCAGCUCAGGACUUCGUACAAGGGCAGCUCUUUGUUUACGGCUCCUCUUUCCUCCUCCUUCCCGUUUCCUUUUCGCCCUCCACCUCCCUUUUCAGGUUAUCUGUUCCGCCCCGGGGGCGGGGGUCCUGUCCAGCUGCCCUUCUCCCAGUCCGGGCCUCUCGCGCUACAGUUGGGGACCCUUUGCCGGGAGAUGUGGAUCCCACCUGGGACUAGAACCUGGAUUUUGAGAAUUCUUGUUCAAUGCUCUCCACUUACUGCAGCUGAGGGAAAGGGAACUGUCCAUUUAAAUAGCUGAUGUUGGUAAGUGCUUUGGGGAGACAAGGUUCUCUUGAUCUGUAUAGGGCUCAUGUGUGAAUAUGACUUACGGUACAUUGGGAGAAUCAACCAAGAGUGCAAGGCAUCAAGGAGGGAGGUAGAAAGGAGUGAGGGAGAGAGGAAGAGAGAGAGAGAGAGAGAGAGUUAAAGAGGAGGAGGGGAUAUUGUCUGCACUGUGUUCCUCUUGAGGGUGCUGCAGAAACAACGGGCAGGGAUCAGUGUAUCAGAUGCAGCCAGUGUGGG
RNAcentral lists this long non-coding RNA (710 nucleotides) under Heterocephalus glaber (naked mole-rat). Its description in RNAcentral is "lncRNA (ENSHGLG00100047010.1)". Lineage: Eukaryota; Metazoa; Chordata; Mammalia; Rodentia; Bathyergidae. The record is from RNAcentral.